This 298-nucleotide unclassified non-coding RNA is filed under the name Acacia maidenii. RNAcentral's name for it is "partial miscellaneous RNA". Lineage: Eukaryota; Viridiplantae; Streptophyta; Magnoliopsida; Fabales; Fabaceae. The record is from RNAcentral.
UCUUAAUGUAUACGAGUUUUUGAACGUAAAGGAGCAAUAAUUAAUUUAUUGUUCUAUCAAGAGGGUUAAUAUUGCUCCUUUACUUUUUAGUAGUUUCAUACAUCAAUUUUGUAUUUACUUCAACAUUCUUUACGGUUGUUUUAAGAUAAGAAAAAAUAUUGGAGUUUCAUACUUUUUGUUUCUUUUUUACUAAUUGAUUUUAUACGUUUUUCUCGGCAAUCUUUUGAAAUGAAAAAAAAAAUGAAAAAUGAAUGUUUUAAUUCUAGUCUAUUGUAUCUUAGAAGACAAGUAAAAACUU